AGUGCCAAUUAGUGGGAUCCAUUGAGAAGGAUACAGAAUAAGUACUGUGAUAACUGAUAUAGGAAAAUGGAAACACCAAUGGUUAUGGCCAUAUGCCAGUGGCAGAUACAGGUAGGGAUGAAAGUGGUAAUCCGAACUGUUAGGACAAAUUUAAUAUUUUAAAAUAGAUAUGUAUAAAAUUUGAUGUUGAUCUUUUCCUAUGUUAUCAAGCACAUUAGUACAAAUAUGAAUAAAAUAUUACAUAAAUUGUUUUAAGUGUUAUUUGGUCCCUACAACACAAAUAGUUGAAAAAAUUAUCGAAUUUGUUUCCGAAUCCAUACCGAAGUUUAUAUCUAUUAUUUAAGAAAAUAUAGCAUAAAUUUAAGGUUUAUCAUCUAUGAAUCUUUACAAGCUGGAUGUUAGAAACAAGAAUACAAAUUUGUAUGGUAGAUUCUAUAUUCUAUUUAUUCGCAAUCAAAGAAAAAACUGAUUACCGAAUAAAUACCGUUUCCGACCGUUUUCAUCCCUAGAUACAGGAUUUCAAUCAUGGGGCAUAGACCUAAACGAUGCAAUUCACUCAAAAUGUAAUAUGACGACUGAAUGACAUUAAAUAGUUAGGUGUGCGGAUAUAAGGAUACAAUUCACCAACAUUU
This 632-nucleotide long non-coding RNA is filed under the name Zea mays. Its description in RNAcentral is "long non-coding RNA (ZMAY_LNC003923)". The record is from RNAcentral. Lineage: Eukaryota; Viridiplantae; Streptophyta; Magnoliopsida; Poales; Poaceae.